This 387-nucleotide ribosomal RNA is filed under the name uncultured bacterium. RNAcentral describes it as "bacterial SSU rRNA". It matches the Rfam family "Bacterial small subunit ribosomal RNA", at positions 28 to 416 of the family's 1533-position model. The record is from RNAcentral.
GACGAACGCUGGCGGCGUGCUUAACACAUGCAAGUCGAGCGGUAAGGCCCUUUCGGGGGUACACGAGCGGCGAACGGGUGAGUAACACGUGGGUGACCUGCCCUCAGCUCUGGAUAAGCCUGGGAAACCGGGUCUAAUACCGGAUAUGACUCCAUGACGCAUGUUGUGGGGUGGAAAGCCUUGUGCGGCUGAGGAUGGGCCCGCGGCCUAUCAGCUUGUUGGUGGGGUGANGGCCUACCAAGGCGACGACGGGUAGCCGGCCUGAGAGGGCGACCGGCCACACUGGGACUGAGACACGGCCCAGACUCCUACGGGAGGGCAGCAGUGGGGAAUCUUGCGCAAUGGGCGAAAGCCUGACGCAGCGACGCCGCGUGAGGGAUGACGGCC